Molecule: ribosomal RNA, 837 nt
Filed under: uncultured bacterium
Lineage: Bacteria
Description: bacterial SSU rRNA
Rfam family: Bacterial small subunit ribosomal RNA
Source: RNAcentral
AGAAUCAACGCUGGCGGCGUGCCUAACACAUGCAAGUCGAACGAGAAAGUGGUAGCAAUACCAUGAGUAAAGUGGCGCACGGGUGAGUAACACGUGACUAACCUACCCUUGAGUGGGGGAUAACUGAGGGAAACCUUAGCUAAUACCGCAUAAUACCUACGGGUCAAAGGAGCAAUUCGCUUAAGGAGGGGGUCGCGGCCGAUUAGUUAGUUGGCGGGGUAAUGGCCCACCAAGACUGUGAUCGGUAUCCGGCCUGAGAGGGCGCACGGACACACUGGAACUGAAACACGGUCCAGACUCCUACGGGAGGCAGCAGUGGGGAAUUUUGCGCAAUGGGGGAAACCCUGACGCAGCAACGCCGCGUGGAGGAUGAAGUCCUUCGGGACGUAAACUCCUUUCGAUCGGGACGAUUAUGACGGUACCGGAAGAAGAAGCCCCGGCUAACUUCGUGCCAGCAGCCGCGGCAAUACGAGGGGGGCGAGCGUUGUUCGGAAUUAUUGGGUGUAAAGGGCGUGUAGGUGGAACUUUAAGUCGGUGGUGAAAGCCUGCAGCUUAACUCAGAACUGCCCUCGAUACUGAAGUUCUUGAGUACGGCAGAGGGAGAUGGAAUUCAUGGUGUAGCGGUGAAAUGUGUAGAUAUCAUGAAGAACACCGGUAGCGAAGGCGGUCUCCUGGUCCGUAACUGACACUGAGGCGCGAAAGCGUGGGGAGCAAACAGGAUUAGAUACCCUGGUAGUCCACGCCUUAAACGAUGGGUACUAGGUGCUGGGCCGUAAGGUUCAGUGCCAAAGCUAACGCAUUAAGUACCCCACCUGGGGAGUACGAUCGCAAGGUGAA